AACGAACGCUGGCGGCAUGCCUAACACAUGCAAGUCGAACGAGACCUUCGGGUCUAGUGGCGCACGGGUGCGUAACGCGUGGGAACCUGCCCUUAGGUUCGGAAUAACUCCCCGAAAGGGGUGCUAAUACCGGUUAAUGUCUUCGGACCAAAGAUUUAGCGCUUGGGGAUGGGCCCGCGUUGGAUUAGCUUGUUGGUAGGGGAAUAGCCUACCAAGGCCACGAUGGGUAGCUGGUCUGAGAGGAUGAUCGGCCACACUGGGAGGGAGAUAAGGCCCAGACUCCUACGGGAGGCAGCAGGGGGGAAUAUGGCACAAUGGGCGGAAGCCGGAUGCAGCAACGCCGCGUGCGGGAUGACGGCCUUCGGGUUGUAAACCGCUUUCGCCUGUGACGAAGCGUGAGUGACGGGAAUGGGUAAAGAAGCACCGGCUAACUACGUG
This 438-nucleotide ribosomal RNA is filed under the name uncultured bacterium. RNAcentral's name for it is "partial 16S ribosomal RNA". It matches the Rfam family "Bacterial small subunit ribosomal RNA", at positions 29 to 507 of the family's 1533-position model. The record is from RNAcentral.